UAGCAGUUGCGGCCUAGUUCAUACAGCUUGUAUACGUGUAUGGAUGGAUAGUGUGGGGAACAUUUAAGAUUAGCCGGUGAGGCGCUCAGGAUUGCCGCCAUCCGAGUCUCACCGGUUGGCUUGA
Pseudomonas amygdali pv. tabaci str. 6605 is the source of this 124-nucleotide non-coding RNA. NCBI's taxonomy places the organism in Bacteria, Pseudomonadati, Pseudomonadota, Gammaproteobacteria, Pseudomonadales, Pseudomonadaceae. The record is from Rfam.